This 695-nucleotide unclassified non-coding RNA is filed under the name Hevea brasiliensis (rubber tree). The record is from RNAcentral. Lineage: Eukaryota; Viridiplantae; Streptophyta; Magnoliopsida; Malpighiales; Euphorbiaceae.
GAAGAGAAAAAUUAAAGUUAACUUUUGCUAGAAAAAAUUUCACCGAUGCAACGUGGAACUACCGGUGACGGGGGUGGUGGACUUUCCCGUUUCCGGUCAGCUCCGGCGACAUGGUUAGAAGCUCUACUUGAAUCCGACACUGAGAGCGAAGUUAUUCUUAACCCUUCUUCUCCCAUUUUACACACUCCCAAUAAACCACCACCUCACCCAUCAACUCCGAAGCUUAAGCUGGAAACCGGCGGAGCUACUAGGUUCACUGGCGAUCCGGGUCUGUUUGAAUCCGGUGGUAGUAGCAAUUUUCUCAGGCAGAAUAGUUCUCCGGCGGAGUUUCUUUCACAUAUCAGCUCUGAUGGUUACUUCUCAAACUAUGGAAUUCCGUCCAGUUUGGACUAUCUUUCUCCAUCCGUUGAUGUUUCGCAGUCCGCUAAGCGAACCCGAGACGAUGAUUCCGAAAGUUCCCCCAGAAAAUUAGUAUCCCAGUUGAAAGGAGAGUCAAGUGGGCAGUUACAUGGUUCUGGUGGGUCACUGGAUGCUGAAAUGGAGAAUCUCAUGGAUGAUUUGGUGCCUUGUAAGGUUCGAGCAAAGCGUGGCUGUGCUACCCAUCCUCGCAGCAUAGCGGAGCGGGUUCGUCGAACGCGUAUAAGUGACAGAAUUAGGAAGCUUCAGGAACUGGUGCCAAAUAUGGACAAGCAAAC